This is an RNA transcript of Sapajus apella (tufted capuchin), 980 nucleotides long. It is a transcript of the gene named 40S ribosomal protein S16 pseudogene, with no coding region annotated. The transcript has a single exon. The record is from RefSeq and is a predicted model, not a curated record. Lineage: Eukaryota; Metazoa; Chordata; Mammalia; Primates; Cebidae.
ACAAUGUCUUUAAAAACAGCAGGUGCAGUGGUUCACAUCUGUAAGCCCAGCAUUUUGGGGGUUCAGGGCAGGAGGAUCAGUUGAGGCCAGGAGCUUAAGACCAGCAUGGAAACAUAGCAAGAUCCUGUCUCUACAAAAAAAAUUUAAAACUUAAAAUUACACAAAAUUUGUCAUCUGUACCAGCUUUUAGAACUGAUUAUUUUAUCCUCCUCAGUGAUCUAUCAUGAAGUUGUGUACUUUGCUUAAAAUGCCCAGUUGCCUGAAAUUGUAUAAAUUCUUGCUUAAAGUGUUUGAACUUAAAACAAAGUUCCCAUCUCUUACCCCUUAGCACUGUGCUUACCUUUAGGAGACCUAGUCCCAGUUUUUUAUUUUACUUAAUGCUCUUAGUGAAUAUGUGUAGACCUCAUAUGGUGGGUAAGAGAAUACUGCAUUCAGUUAGAAAAGACGAUAUAUGGAGUUUCUCUAGUCCACGUUCACAGCCAUGCCGUCCAAGGGUCCGCUGCAGUCUGUGCAGGUUUUUGGAUGCAAGAAGACAGCUACAGCUGUUGCGCACUGCAAACACGGCAAUGACCUUAUCAAGGUGAACGGGCGGCCCCUGGAGAUGAUCGAGCCGCAUACCCUCCAAUACAAGCUGCUGGAGCCAGUUCUGCUACUCGGCAAGGAGCGAUUUGCUGGUGUAGAAAUCCGGGUCCAUGUGAAGGGUGGUGGUCACAUGGCCCAGAUUUAUGCUAUCCGUCAGUCCAUCUCCAAAGCCCUGAUGGCCUAUUACCAGAAAUAUGUGAAUGAGGCUUCCAAGAAGGAGAUCAAAGACAUCCUCAUCCAGUACGAUCGGACCCUGCUGGUAGCUGAUCCUCGGCGCUGUGAAUCCAAAAAGUUUGGAGGCCCUGGUGCUCAUGCUCGCUACCAGAAAUCCUACCGAUAAGCGCAUCCUGAUGAUCAAAGUUCACCUGUAUAAUAAAGUUCUUGAGGGAUUUUACUGU